CUAGAAAAAUAGGCAUUGAACCCAUACCUGAGAAUUCAAAAAUCUCUGUGCUACCAAAUACACCAUAAUCUA
This 72-nucleotide transfer RNA is filed under the name Smutsia temminckii (ground pangolin). Its description in RNAcentral is "Manis temminckii (ground pangolin) tRNA-Gln". The record is from RNAcentral. Lineage: Eukaryota; Metazoa; Chordata; Mammalia; Pholidota; Manidae.